This is a long non-coding RNA of Actinia tenebrosa (Australian red waratah sea anemone), 934 nucleotides long. RefSeq lists it as uncharacterized. Lineage: Eukaryota; Metazoa; Cnidaria; Anthozoa; Actiniaria; Actiniidae. The record is from RefSeq and is a predicted model, not a curated record.
AUACACCUAGAGGUAGAAAUAUCAAAAGCGCUUAUUAGAUGUUAUUAGAUAACAUUGCACCUCCUAUUACUAUCCCCGCCCAAAGAACCACUUUUUUCACAGGUAAGCUGGAGGGCUAGCUAUGGCAUGUAGAGUCAAUGGAGACUGAAAACAAGCAUGGACAAAUGAAAUAUUGUCUCGGCCAAUUAAUGCUGAUUGGACAAUACGAGUAAUGGGACUUGGAUCAUCUCUUUAUUGGUUCUGACCAAAAGUAUUGAAGGCUCACAAGACAAGUCAAAUAACCAAACAUGCACAUUAAUCAUACUGGAAGCAUCGACAUUUCCUUCUAAACCUUGUUUGAGUAAUGAUGAAAAGAAAAGCACCAAUGGCUCCCAGAUAUCCUUCAUGACGUAAAAACAAUGCUUGCUGAGCAUCCUGGGAAACAAAAAAACAACAUUUUAGCUUGCAGCUUGCAACUAACGGGCGUAAAGUGAAGCUAUCUAUGAGAACAGAAAACAACAAAUAGAGAGAAAUCUUCUAAAUCUUUUAUGGAAAUAACUGAAUCAUUGUUUUACUGGUACUUGGCAGAGUGGACAGAGUAUCGGCCAUUUCUUACCUGAGCGAUAUCAUUACUAAUCAUCUGCAGUAAACUCUUUGCAAUGUCACACUCUGCAAACUUGUGACCUGAAAAUAAGGAAAAAAACAAAGCGAUUGCUGAUGGAUCAUAUUCAGAAUUUUUUUCAGACAUCAUCACAUACAUGUAACCUAUAUUUCAUUUGGUUUCUUCUACAUAUUUCUAACAAUAAUUUAUUACCCAAGGUUUUGGGUCUUUGAUUAAUGCCCAAGCUCAUACCACAGGGAGCCCAAGAGGCUGAUAAAUAAACAUCUUCUCACAAGAUAUUUUCUUUAGUUUGAAUACUCUUAAAGUGAACGAAACUAACUCAACUAACCAUCU